UCGAGCGGAUGAAGGGAGCUUGCUCCCUGAUUUAGCGGCGGACGGGUGAGUAAUGCCUAGGAAUCUGCCUGGUAGUGGGGGAUAACGUUCCGAAAGGAACGCUAAUACCGCAUACGUCCUACGGGAGAAAGCAGGGGACCUUCGGGCCUUGCGCUAUCAGAUGAGCCUAGGUCGGAUUAGCUAGUUGGUGAGGUAAUGGCUCACCAAGGCGACGAUCCGUAACUGGUCUGAGAGGAUGAUCAGUCACACUGGAACUGAGACACGGUCCAGACUCCUACGGGAGGCAGCAGUGGGGAAUAUUGGACAAUGGGCGAAAGCCUGAUCCAGCCAUGCCGCGUGUGUGAAGAAGGUCUUCGGAUUGUAAAGCACUUUAAGUUGGGAGGAAGGGCGUUUGGCUAAUAUCCAAGCGUUUUGACGUUACCGACAGAAUAAGCACCGGCUAACUUCGUGCCAGCAGCCGCGGUAAUACGAAGGGUGCAAGCGUUAAUCGGAAUUACUGGGCGUAAAGCGCGCGUAGGUGGUUCGUUAAGUUGGAUGUGAAAGCCCCGGGCUCAACCUGGGGAACUGCAUCC
RNAcentral lists this ribosomal RNA (572 nucleotides) under Ectopseudomonas oleovorans. RNAcentral's name for it is "bacterial SSU rRNA". It matches the Rfam family "Bacterial small subunit ribosomal RNA", at positions 62 to 628 of the family's 1533-position model. The record is from RNAcentral. Lineage: Bacteria; Pseudomonadati; Pseudomonadota; Gammaproteobacteria; Pseudomonadales; Pseudomonadaceae.